RNAcentral lists this ribosomal RNA (253 nucleotides) under uncultured bacterium. Its description in RNAcentral is "partial 16S ribosomal RNA". It matches the Rfam family "Bacterial small subunit ribosomal RNA", at positions 524 to 776 of the family's 1533-position model. The record is from RNAcentral.
UACGAAGGGGGCUAGCGUUGUUCGGAAUCACUGGGCGUAAAGCGCACGUAGGCGGAUUGUUAAGUCAGAGGUGAAAUGCCAAGGCUCAACCUUGGAACUGCCUUUGAUACUGGCAAUCUCGAGUCCGGGAGAGGUGAGUGGAACUGCGAGUGUAGAGGUGAAAUUCGUAGAUAUUCGCAAGAACACCAGUGGCGAAGGCGGCUCACUGGCCCGAUACUGACGCUGAGGCACGAAAGCGUGGGGAGCAAACAGG